CGGCAAGUGAUGUCGUCAUGCCAAUGGUGGCUCCAAUUCUGUAACGCGUCCCUCUCUUUUCUUGAAAACCCUUAAAGCCCAAUUCUCUGUACUCCUUCUCCUCCCAAUAGCCUCCACCGGCAGAUCAACCCCCUUUAGUCUCCGCCGUCGUUUUACUCCUUAUCUACCACCGCUCCAAGUCCCGAGGGACCCAUCUCUACUCUCUCCCUUCCUCCACCAACACCCUCACUCGUACCCACUUUUCCCAAAUCGCUAUUCUCCUGAAAUUGAAUCCCCACCUUUCCCUUCGCUUCUUCAUCUUCACUCUACACAACUCUUUCUG
RNAcentral lists this unclassified non-coding RNA (322 nucleotides) under Hevea brasiliensis (rubber tree). Lineage: Eukaryota; Viridiplantae; Streptophyta; Magnoliopsida; Malpighiales; Euphorbiaceae. The record is from RNAcentral.